Molecule: ribosomal RNA, 327 nt
Filed under: uncultured eukaryote
Lineage: Eukaryota
Description: partial 18S ribosomal RNA
Rfam family: Eukaryotic small subunit ribosomal RNA
Source: RNAcentral
CCCUUAGAUGUUCUGGGCCGCACGCGCGCUACACUGACGAAUGCAACGAGCUUAUAACCUUGGCCGAAAGGUCUGGGUAAUCUCCGAAUUUCGUCGUGAUGGGGAUAGAUUAUUGCAAUUAUUAAUCUUCAACGAGGAAUGCCUAGUAAGCGCAAGUCAUCAGCUUGCGUUGAUUACGUCCCUGCCCUUUGUACACACCGCCCGUCGCUCCUACCGAUUGAAUGGUCCGGUGAAGCGUUCGGACCGUGGCCUUUGGACGGUUCGCCGUCUGUUGGCUGCGGGAAGUUCGUUAAACCUUAUCAUUUAGAGGAAGGAGAAGUCGUAACA